UGCCAGCCGCCGCGGUAAUACAGAGGGGGUUAGCGUUGUUCGGAAUUACUGGGCGUAAAGCGCACGUAGGCGGAUUGGAAAGUUGGGGGUGAAAUCCCGGGGCUCAACCCCGGAACUGCCUCCAAAACUAUCAGCCUAGAGUUCGAGAGAGGUGAGUGGAACUCCGAGUGUAGAGGUGAAAUUCGUAGAUAUUCGGAAGAACACCAGUGGCGAAGGCGGCUCACUGGCUCGAUACUGACGCUGAGGUGCCAAAGUGCGGGGAUCAAACCGGAUUAGAUA
RNAcentral lists this ribosomal RNA (279 nucleotides) under uncultured bacterium. RNAcentral describes it as "partial 16S ribosomal RNA". It matches the Rfam family "Bacterial small subunit ribosomal RNA", at positions 506 to 784 of the family's 1533-position model. The record is from RNAcentral.